RNAcentral lists this ribosomal RNA (254 nucleotides) under uncultured bacterium. RNAcentral describes it as "partial 16S ribosomal RNA". It matches the Rfam family "Bacterial small subunit ribosomal RNA", at positions 524 to 776 of the family's 1533-position model. The record is from RNAcentral.
GACGUAGGAGGCGAGCGUUGUCCGGAUUCAUUGGGCGUAAAGAGCGCGCAGGCGGCUUGGUAAGUCGGAUGUGAAAUCCCGAGGCUCAACCUCGGGUCUGCAUCCGAUACUGCCCGGCUAGAGGUAGGUAGGGGAGAUCGGAAUCCCUGGUGUAGCGGUGAAAUGCGCAGAUAUCAGGAGGAACACCGGUGGCGAAGGCGGAUCUCUGGGCCUUACCUGACGCUCAGGCGCGAAAGCUAGGGGGAGCGAACUGG